This 484-nucleotide ribosomal RNA is filed under the name uncultured bacterium. RNAcentral's name for it is "partial 16S ribosomal RNA". It matches the Rfam family "Bacterial small subunit ribosomal RNA", at positions 29 to 507 of the family's 1533-position model. The record is from RNAcentral.
AUUGAACGCUGGCGGCAUGCUUUACACAUGCAAGUCGAACGGCAGCGCGGGCUUCGGCCUGGCGGCGAGUGGCGAACGGGUGAGUAAUACAUCGGAACGUGCCCAGUAGUGGGGGAUAGCUCGGCGAAAGCCGGAUUAAUACCGCAUACGUCCUGAGGGUGAAAGCGGGGGAUCUUCGGACCUCGCGCUAUUGGAGCGGCCGAUGGCAGAUUCGCUAGUUGGUGGGGUAAAGGCGUACCAAGGCGACGAUCUGUAGCUGGUCUGAGAGGACGACCAGCCACACUGGGACUGAGACACGGCCCAGACUCCUACGGGAGGCAGCAGUGGGGAAUUUUGGACAAUGGGCGAAAGCCUGAUCCAGCAAUGCCGCGUGUGUGAUGAAGGCCUUCGGGUUGUAAAGCACUUUUGGCGGGAACGAAAAGGACUGUGCCAAUACCACGGUUCGAUGACGGUACCCGCAGAAUAAGCACCGGCUAACUACGUG